ACUUAAAUAAUUUGCGAUACCGGAACUAGAUCCAACAGAAAACAUAAUAAAUCGAUUUGCUCGGAAAUAUCAAGAUAUUUUUGUAGAAAAUAGAUCUAAAAUACUAAUAGUAAUAGAUCUUGGCACUGAUUAGAAAAUUGCACAAUAAUUACAUCUAGAUCUAGAAGGGGUUCUCUCAACAUGGAGACAGGAAUAAGACAAACACAGGGACAACAAAGAUACCAACAAUGUUUUAAACUUGAACACUGCAAUCAACUGAUUUACAACCCUCUGUAUUCAAGUGGCUAGAGUACUACCAUGUCUUUUGUGCUUAUGGGUUUAUGAUUACAGUAAAAAAUAAAACCAAGUGCUGUGAUAGGUUGAAACAAACCAGGUCCAUGGGACAGAUGGAGAGAUCAUGAGUUUCUCUGACCUUGGCAUAGGAAGGGAUAGUGUAGUCAAGUUCAAUACUAUGCUCAGCCACCUUUAUUUUCCCAACCAGUUACUAGAGCCCAUUAUUAGAACUUGAGACUAUCAGGAUUUACCAGCCUGAGGAUUAAGGCGUCUCUUCAAGAUGGAUGUUAGAACAUCACAGAUGGUUAUUUUUUCAGGCCACCUGAUGUUCAGUUUGCUACACAGCCAUUCAUUAUUGAAAGUCUCAGAACCAUAAAGGAGAACAAAUUUUACAUUGCUGUUCAAGUCAUAUUUGGAAAACUGUAGACAGCUCUUGACAUCCAUAUUGUGCGGAGAAUGUUGGAUACUUUGCUGAUAUGUCUUUUGAUGUCCUCAUCUGCUCCCCCAUCAUCUUACAACAGAUCCUAGAUGUGUAAAGUGAUCUUGCUCAAAUAGUCAUUUCUUGUGUUCUAAGUGGGAACUCCUGUUUGUUGUUGAUUCUUAUCACUUGUGUUUUUUCCAGUUGAUCAUUAAGCCUAUAUUAUUAUUAAGAAGGUUCAUCAUAGUUUGCUUAGCGUGGAUUGGGCAUGUUGUCAAUGUGAGAGUAUAGCAUCCUCAAUAUCUAGACCUCCAGCUAAGUGAGGGUCCACUGAAUUCCACCCUUUUGGUCUGAUGUACUUUAUACAUGAAAAGCGUAUAACAUUUCUGUACUCACUGAAAAAGGGCUGGUUAACUUGUGGAUAAUCUGGCAGUUGUAGUCUUUGUAGAGGUGUUGGAUAAUAUUGCUGAUUUUCAGAGGGGUUAUUAGUUGUUGAAUGUGCAAAUUCAAUUUUUUCAAUAGGUUGGCUUUCAUGUAUAGAUAUUCUGCUAUGCAGUAUUUGUUUAUAAAUAUGUCUAUCUAUCUAUUUAUGCAUAUAUUUAUGUUUGUGUGUGAAACUAAGGUCUAGUUACACACAGUCAUAUAAAAUUUAAAACUUGUUAGAUUAAGAUGUCUGUAGCCAUCAAAUUUUUAUUUAUUGUGGAGGUUGUAUGUAUUGAUUGCAUUUUGUCUAGUUAUUGAGCAUACUGAAAUCUGCUAAUAUUGAUUUAUUAUCUUCCUAUUUACUUGUCCACUUGUAACCUAUAUGAUCUAUUACUUAAUUGUAGCAUCAAAAGUAUUCUUUUAAUGUGAAUAAAAAUUUUAAACAAGU
Physella acuta is the source of this 1562-nucleotide long non-coding RNA. RefSeq lists it as uncharacterized. Lineage: Eukaryota; Metazoa; Mollusca; Gastropoda; Physidae. The record is from RefSeq and is a predicted model, not a curated record.